Molecule: ribosomal RNA, 381 nt
Filed under: Podocnemis expansa
Lineage: Eukaryota; Metazoa; Chordata; Testudines; Podocnemididae
Description: partial 12S rRNA
Rfam family: Bacterial small subunit ribosomal RNA
Source: RNAcentral
CCCUAAACCCAGAUACCCACUUACAAAGAUAUCCGCCAGAGAACUACAAGCCAAAUGCUUAAAACUCAAGGGACUUGACGGUGCCUCAAACCCACCUAGAGGAGCCUGUUCUAUAAGCGAUAAUCCACGAUAAACCUUACCAUCUUUUGCCCCCCAGCCUAUAUACCGCCGUCUCCAGCCUACCUUGUGAGAGGAAAGAAGUAAGCACAAUAGUCCAUACAACUAGAACGUCAGGUCCAGGCGUAGCCAAUGAGAUGGAAGAAAUGGGCUACAUUUUCUAAUAUAGAAAUAGUCACGGAGAGAGCCCUGAAUAAAGGCCUCAAAAGCAGAAUUUAGCAGUAAUUUUGGAAUAGUGAGCCAAAAUUAAACAGGAAAUGAAGC